CGGUCUUUCACUUCCUUGAUUAGGUUUAUUCCUAGAUAUUUUAUUCUUUUUGAUGCAGUUGUGAAUGGAAAUGUUUUCCUGAAUACUGUUUCUGCUGGUUCAUCAUUAGUGUACAGGAAUGCAACAGAUUCCUGUGUAUUCAUUUUGUAUCCUGUAACUUUGCUGAAUUCAGAUACUAGUUCUAGUAGUUUUGGAGUGGAUUCUUCAAUGUUUUUUAUAUACGACAUCAUGUCAUCUGGAAAAAGUGACAGUUUGACUUCUUCCUUACCAAUCUGGAUGCCUUGUAUUUCUUUGUGUUAUCUGAUUGCUGUGGCUAGGACCUUCAAUCCUAUGUUGAAUAAAAGCGGGGAGAGUGGGCAUCCUUGGCUUGUUCCCAACCUUAGGGGAAAAGCUUUCAGAUUCUCGCUGUUAAGUAUAAUGUUGGCUGUGGGUUUGUCAUAUAUGGCCUUCAUUAUGUUGAGGUACUUGCCCUCUAUACCCAUUUUGUUGAGAGCUUUUAUCAUGAUGGCUGCUGAACUUUGUCGAAUGCUUUUUCAGCAUCUAUGGAGAUGAUCAUAUGGUGUUUAUCCUUCUUUUUGUUGAUGUGGUAUAUGGUGAUGAUGGAUUUUCGAAUGUUGUACCAUCCUUGCAUCCCUGAGAUGAAUCCCACUUGGUCAUGGUGUAUGAUCCUUUUGAUGUAUUUUUGAGUUCUAUUUGCAGAUAUUUUGUUGAGUAUUUUUGCAUGUAUGUUCAUCAGGGAUAUUGGUCUGUAGUUUUCUCUUUUUGUAGCAUCUUUGCUUGAUUUUGGUACUUGAGUGAUGCUGGCUUUAUAGAAUGAGUUUGGGAGUGUUCCCUCCUCUUCUAUUUUUUGGAGAACUUUAAGGAGAAUGGGUAUUAUGUCUUCUCUAAAUGUCUCACAGAAUGCAGCAGUCAAUCUAUCUGGUCCAGGUGGAUUUUGUAUUUGGAUAGUUUUUUGAUUACCAAUUCAAUUUUGUUGCUGUUGAUUGGUCUGUUUCGAUUUUAUGUUUCUUCCUUGGUCAGUCUUGGAAGAUUGUAUUUUUCUCGAAGUUGUCCAAGUCUUCUAGUUUACCCAGUUUCUUAGCAUAUUGAUUUUCGUAGUAUUCUCUAAUAAACCUUGUAUUUCUGUUGUGUCCAUAGUGAUUUUUUUCCUUUCUCAUUUCUGAUACUGUUGAUGUGUAUAGAUUCUCUUUUCCUCUUAAUAAGUCUGGCUAGGGGUUUAUCUAUUUUGUCUGUUUUCUCAAAGAACCAGCUCUUGGUUUCAUUAAUUUUUUUCUAUUUUAUUCUUCUCAAUUUUAUUUAUUUAUUCUCUUGUCUUUAUUAUUUCCCUCCUUCUGCUGACUUGGGGCCUCAUUUGUUCUUCUUUUUCCAGUUUCAAUGAUUGUGAAAUUAGACUAUUCAUUUGGGAUUGUUCUUCCUUCUUUAAAUAGGCCUGGAGUACUGUAUACUUUCCUCUUAGAACUGCUUCGCUGUGUCCCACAGAAGUUGGGUCGUUGUGCUGUUUUCAUUUGUCUCCAUAUAUUGCUUGAUCUCUGUUUCAGUUUGGUCAUUGAUCCAUUGAUUAUUUAGGAGCAUGUUGUUAAGCCUCGAUGUGUUUGUGUGCCUUUUUUGUUUUCUUUGUACAAUUUAUUUCUAGUUUUAUACCUUUGUGAUCUGAGAAGUUGGUUGGUAGAAUAUCAAUCUUUUUGAAUUUACUGAGUCUCUUUUUGUGGCCUAGUAUGUGGUCUAUUCUGGAAAAUGUUCCAUGUGCCCUUGAGAAAAAUGUGUAUCCUGCAGCUUUUGGGUGUAGAGUUCUGUAGAUGUCUGUUAGAUCCAUCAGUUCUAGGAUGUUGUUCAGUGCCUCUGUGUCCUUACUUAUUUUCUGCCUGGUUGAUCUGUCCUUUGGAGUGAGUGCUGUGUUGAAGUCUCCUAAAAUGAGUGCAUUGCAUUCUAUUUCCCCCUUGUAUCUGUUUCAUGUAUGUAGGUGCUCCUGUGUUGGGUGCAUAGAUAAUUAUAAUGGUUAUAUCCUCUUGUUCUACUGACCCCUUUAUCAUUAUGGAAUGUCGUUAUUCUCUCUCUUGUUAUAACUUUCUUUGUUUUGAAGUCUAUUUUGUCUGAUACAAGUACUGCAACUCCUUUUUUUUCUCCCUAUUGUUUGCAUGAAAUAUGUUUAUCCAUCCCUUCACUUUUAGUCUGUGUAUGUCUUUGGGUUUGAAGUGAGUCUCUUGUAGGCAGCAUAUAUCUGGGUCUUGCUUUUUUAUCCACUCUAACUCUGUGUCUUUUGGUUGGUGCAUUCAGUCCAUUAACAUUUAGAGUGAUUAUCCGUAGUUAUGUACUUAACUACCUUUGCAGGCUUUGGAUUCGUGGUUACCAAAGGGUCAAGGGCAGCAGUGCCUGCAGUGCCUGCCGCACGUCACUAGGGGGCGAAGCGGCGCAGGAAGCCGCCCCGGGCUCGCGGGCUCUGCGCGAAAGUCCAAGCGGGCGGCCUGGCGCGUUAGAAAACUGGCGAGGCGGUGGGGGCGGGGCGCGGGGCCGCGAGCCUCCUCCCCUCGGCCAAUCAGCGACCGCGGCGGGCGCCUGUGUGCAGCGCGCGCCCUGUGCGGGGCACUUAUCCUCUGCGCCGGGCGGGGAGGACGGCAGAACCGGCGUCUCCUCUGUUCCAGUCGGACUCCUCGGGAGGCGCGGCGCUGCCCGGGCGCCCUGGCUGCGGGGCUGCUGAAGGCGGUCUGACGGAAUUUCCCUGCUGACAACUUCGCCACCGCCUCCGCCCUGUCCCGCGAGGGCAGCCGCCCGAUAUCGGGCCUCCCCUCGAGCGCGUGAGGACUUGGGGCCGGAGGCAGGCGACGGCCGCCCCUCAGUAUGGCCCGCGGGGGUCCCCGCCUGGCCCCGAGCGGCGGCGGCGCGGCGGGCGACCGACUCCAAAGUUGAGCGCAGGCCGGUGGCGCUGGUGGUGGCCGCUCAUGACGCUCCAGCUGCACUUGCUCCAGGUGCUGGUUCAAGGUUGGCCCCGCCCCCACAAUUAGCCCCGCCCCAAGACCUGCCACGCCCACGUGUUCCAUCCAAUUGGUCCUGGGCUUGCACACCUUGUGGGACGCCAUCUCGCUGACGGAGCGGUAGGUCUGCAUGGUCUCCAGCUGCUCCAGACACCAGUCCAACUCCUCCAACGUCUCCCGGGCCAACUGCUGACACGUCUCCUCUGGAGAAGGGGGAGUGGGGUGGUGACUGACAGAGUCCACAGGGAGACCCCCAAAGGCCCCAGCCCAUGGUGAUUCGGGCCUGGCAGGUGCUGGGGACACAGCAGUCACCAAGAUGCACCAUGAUCCGGCCCUCACAGAGAUGACACGGGCGGUGUGGACUAUGAAGAGGCUAGCCUAGCAGCAGUGCACACCCCAAAAGCUGUGAGGUCCUCCUUAGCUUUAUUCCUCCUGACCACCCAAACCUAUUCAGAAUCUACCUGGUCCUCAGCCCAUGCUUGGUCAGCCCCUAUCAUUGCUUGCCCAGACUAGAGCAUUCGUCGCUGCCCUGGUCCCCAGCUCCUGGCUUUGCCUCUCCGUGUAGUCUGCCAAUGGUGACCAGAGGGCACCUAAGUCAGGUCACAGCCCUCCUCUGCUCAGAACUUUCUAUGGCUCCCAGCUCCCUCAAAGCUAAAGCCACAGUCCUCACUGUAGCCUGCAAGGUCCUGCCCUAUGACUUCCCAUGCCACCCCCUCACUUACUCUGCUCCAACCACAGUAGCCUCUUUGCUAUUCCCUAAACAUUCUGAUACAUUCCUGCCUCAGGGCCUUUGCACAGGCUGUUUCCCUGUGCCCAGAUCUCCAAUGGCUGUUCCCUCACCUCCUUCAGGUCACCAGCUAAAUGUCACCUCCUCAGGGAGGCCUUCCCUGACCAACCCAUUUCAAAUUUCAACCCCUGCCCUAAUAUUUUGUAUUUCCUUUCCUUAAAAAAAAAAUUCUACUUACCUGACCCAGUCUGUUUCACUUCUUUACUGUCUGCCUUUCCUUCUAAAACUAAACUCUGCAGCAAAGCAGAGUCUGCUUUGUUUGCUGCUGUGUCCCUUGGGCCAAGAACAUGGCCUGGCACACAGCAGAUGCCCAAUAAAUGUUUAUCGAAUGAAUCAUAAAAUGUACAAAUGAAUGAAUGACUAUACGGACUGGAUUGUGCUGUGCCGAGAAUUAAAACUAGGUGGAUGUCUGCAAGUUACUGGAGGAGAGACUUUAGCUGUUGUGGUUGAGGCAGGCCUCUCUGAGGAGGUGACACCUGAGCAGGGCCUGAAAGAUGAGAAGGAACAGGCCACCAGUCAGAAGGUAGGAGAAUGCCCACCAGGUGGAGGGAACACCCAAGUGCAAAGCCUGGUAGCAGGAUUCGGGUUUUGUCUGAAGCCCAGAAAGGAAGCUGGUGUGGCUGGAGUGAACAUACAGUCUAUGACAGAGACAGCUUCAGAGAGAGGGGAGACAGUGGCACCCCAGACCGGGGGCAAUGGCAGAAUGGAGACCAUCAGGAUGAGGACGGGAGACACUGACUCUGCCCCUUCCCAGCUGUAUGACUUGGGGAAAAUGACUGUAUUUCAGUUCCCUCAUCCAAAAUAUGGGGACAGCCACAACAUCCCUUCAGUCAUCUGGGUGAUCAGAGUUAACACAGGUAAAAUGCUUAGACUGGUGCCUGGCACAGAGGUCAAAAAACACUGGCAAUUGUUAAGGCUCUGGGCCCCGUAUAUUCCACUUGAGGAGUGGACACAGCAAGGCAGUCAAUAGAACUGAGGACAAGAGUGGGGAGCUGUGUGGCUUUUGGAAGUCCACUGCCCUCUCUGGCCCAUUACUCCAUUGUUAAAAUGAGCAGAUUAGACUUUAGCUAUGGUCUGAUGGGUGCAAGGGAGUGGAGGAGCAAACGCAACCCUCCCCUUUCUGGUUCUACCUAUUGAGAGCUAGCGUACAAUUUUAUUUGAAUGGUCCCUCUGCUAAGAAAUAAGUUUGAAAUCUUCCAGACCAGGACAGCAAUACCAGUUUCCAUAUAUUCAGCCAUUUUUUCUGAGCCAGUCCUGUGGUGAGGGAACAGGGAGGGAUUUCAUUGACUCCAUUUUACAGACGAAGAAACAGGUUCAGGGAGGCAAAUGAUUAGCUCUGGGUCAGAGAGCAAGGUCAUGAUGUCAGAAUUCAAACCCAAGUCAUGGGAGUCCUCAGACCAAAAUGUUAACUGCUGCCCUCUGCCUUCUCAAUCCCCAUUUGAGCACAUUCUUCCCAAUAGAGCAAAUGUUCCCAGGGGCCAGGCAGAUGCCACCCAAAGCAGAAUGGAGUGGGAGCUCUAAGAACCAAAUCUCCCAAUUUUAGGAAAGAAACUAGAAAUUUUAAAUAGCCAAAAAUUCAAACUUCUUUUAAAAACAAACUUCCAAGAACACUGUGAAAACUUCUGCUCAGCAGAAGACACCCGCAAAAGAACGAAAAGACAAGCCACAGGCUGGGAGACAAUAUAUGACAAUGGACUUGUAUCCAAAAUAUAUAAUGAAGUCUCAAAACUCAAUAAUAAGAUGACAAACAUCUCAAUUAAAGAAUGAGCAAAAGUUUUUGGACAGGUCACCAAAGAGGAUAUGCCGAUGGCCAAUAAGCACAGGUGACAUCCGUCUUCCUUUAGGAAAUGCAAAUUAAAGCCAGCAAGUAUCACUUCACACCUACUAGUGUGGCAGAAACAAACAAGAAACAAAAACUGACAGUACUAUCAACUGGUGGAAAGGAUGGGAGCAACUGGAAUGCUCACUCAUCGCCAAGUGGUAUUGCCGCUCUGGAAGACAACCAGUCAGUUUCUGAUGAAAUUAAACUCACACUUAGCGUAUAAGCCAACAAACCCACUCCUAUGUAUUUACCCAAGAUAAAUGAAACUACAUGUCCACUCAAAAACCUGCAGACAAUGGUGGGAAUGUAAACUAGUUCAACUGUUGUGGAAAGCAGUAUGGAGGUUCCUCAAAAAACUCAAAAUAGAAGUACCAUUUGACCCAGGAAUUCCACUUCUAGGAAUUUACCCUAAGAAUGCAGCAGCCCAGUUUGAAAAAGACAUAUGCACCCCUGUUUAUCACAGCACUAUUUACAAUAGCCAAGAAAUGGAAGCAACCUAAGUGUCCAUCAGUAGAUGAAUGGAUAAAGAAGAGGUGGUACAUAUACACAAUGGAAUAUUAUUCAGCCAUAAGAAGAAAAGAAAUCCUACCAUUUGCAACAACAUGGAUGGAGCUAGAGGGUAUUAUGCUCAGUGAAAUAAGCCAGGUGGAGAAAGACAAGUAUCAAAUGAUUUCACUCAUAUGUGGAGUAUAAGAACAAAGAAAAAACUGAAGGAACAAAACAGCAGCAGACUCACAGAACCCAAGAAUGGACUAACAGUUGCCAAAGGGAAAGGGCCUGGGGCAGGGAUUGGGGGUUGGGGGGUGGAAAGGGAGGGAUAAGGGGGAAAAAGGGGCGUUAUGAUUAGCACGUAUAAUGUCAGGUCGGGGGGGGUGCACGGGGUAGGCAGUAUAACACAGAGGAGACAAGUAGUGACUCUACAGCAUCUUACUACGCUGAUGGACUAUGACUGUAAUGGGGUAUGUGGGGGAGCUUGAUAAUGGGGGGAAUCUAGUAACCACAAUGUUGCUCAUGUAAUUGUAUAUUAAUGAUACAAAAAAAAAAAAAAACCUGCAGACAAAUGUUUACAGAAGUUCUGUUCAUAAUCACCAAAUCCUGGAAACAGCCAAGCCAAAUGUGCAUCACAUAGUGAGUGGAUUAAACUGUGGCAGAUCCAUACCCUCGGGUACUAUUCAGCAAUUUAAAGAAAAAGAACUACUGUGAAAUAAUGAGAAAUGUGUGAUAUAUUUGGUCUCUGCCCUGGCUUCCUGGUACACAGUUCCUGAAACCCUGGUGAUCUCCACGGUGAAAAGUGUCUCUCUGUGUAUUAAGGAGAUGCCAGCCUUCUGGGGACUCCCUGUGAGCCCCUGAAUGGGGGCUCGGUGCCAAGGAAGCCAGUGGUGUGGUGGGUGGGAUGGAACUUUCAGCUCCACUUCCACAUCUCUGGGGAGGGAUGAUGGAAUGGCGGUGGAGUUCAUUAUCAAUGCAAUGGCCAAUGAUUAAUCAGUCAUGCCUUCACAACCAAUCAUCCAUCAAAAUCCCAGAGAGCUUCCUGGUGGCUGCACAUGUCAAGGUGCUGGGAGGGUUGUGCACCCGGAGGGGCCAGAAAGGCUCCAUGUUCCUGCCCCCAUACUUUGUUCUAUGCCCUUUGCUCUUGCUUUUCCAAACAUCUGGCUGUUCCUGAGUUACAUCUUUUAUAAGAAAUUGGUGACCCAGCAGUGACUGUAAUGGGGUAUGUGGUGGGGACUUGAUAAUAGUGGGGAAUGUAGUGACCACCAUGCUGCUCAUGUGAAACCUUCAUAAGAUUGUAUAUCAGUGAUACCUUAAAAAAAAAAAAGACACCUCCCACCAAAAAAGAAAAAAGAAAUUGGUGAUCCAGUAAGUAAACUGUUUUCCUGAGUUCUGUGAACUACUCUAGCAAAUUAACUGAACCUGAGGAGAGGGUCAUGGGAAUCUGAUUCAUAGCCAGGUGGUCAGAAGCACAGGUGACGACCUGGGCUUGCAUCUGGCAUGAGAGAGAGAGUCUUGUGGAGUGAGCCCCGCACUGACUCCAGGAAGUUAGUAUCAGAACUGAAUUAGACUGUAGUCCAGCCGGUUGGCUCCACGGAGAAUUGGAGAAUUGGUUGGUGUGGGAAAAACCCACACACAUUUGGUGUUCUGCAAGAGUAGAAAAGAAACAGCGUUUUCCUUUUUAACUACUGAUCCACAAAACAACUUGGAUGAGUCUCAGAUGAAUUUUGCUGAGAGAAGGAAGCCAGUGGUGGGGAUUACAUGUGUCAAAACUCAUUAGAACUAAUAAAUGAAGUUAGCGAAGUUGCACAAUACAAAAUCAACACACAAAAAUCAGUCACUUUUCUAUACGCUAACAAUGUACAAUCUGAAAAGGAUAUCAUGGAAACGAUUCCACUUAUAUUAGCAUCAAAAUGAAAAAGAUACUUAGGAAUCCACUUAACUGGGGAGGCAAGACUCUUGUACACUGAAGAUGACAAAAUGUCGCUGAAAGAAAUUAAAGGAGACACAAAUAAAUGAAAAGAUAUCCUGUAUUCAUGGACUGGAAUAAUAAAUUAAGGCUUAAUAAUGCUAAAAUGUCAAUACUACUCAAAAUGAUCUACAGGUUCAGUGCCAUCUCUAUUGAAAUCUCUGUAAGAAUAGUCCCAAGCAGCAACAUGGAUGGAGCUGGAGGGUAUUAUGCUCAGUGAAACAAGCCAAGCGGAGAAAGAGAAAUACCAAAUGAUUUCACUUAUCUGUGGAAUAUAAGAACAAAGGAAAAACUGAAGGAACAAAACAGCAGCAGAAUCACAGAACUCAAGAAUGGACUAACAGGUAC
Long non-coding RNA from Manis pentadactyla (Chinese pangolin), 8384 nucleotides. RefSeq lists it as uncharacterized. The record is from RefSeq and is a predicted model, not a curated record. The transcript has 3 exons. NCBI's taxonomy places the organism in Eukaryota, Metazoa, Chordata, Mammalia, Pholidota, Manidae.